CCAGCGGCCAGGCCCGGCCCCGUUCCCCGCCCCGGGGGUUCCCGCGGGACGGCGGCGGCCCAGCGCCUCCUUCGUCUCCUGCGCAGGGCCCGCGGGGAGUUCCCGGCCGGGAAGUUUGCGGCCGGCGGCGGGGGGAGCCCGCGGGGCUCCUGUGGAGGGGCGAUGCCGCCUAAGGAUCGCGGCAAAGGCAAGCUGCCGGUUCCUCUCCCAAGAGACAUGAUCCUGAAAGACACCGAAGGGAAAGUGUGGCGACUGGGCAGUCAGAUCGGCCAGGGAGGAUUUGGCUUGAUCUACUUAGCUUCCCCUCAAACUCAUGUUCCUGUAGAAGAUGAUGCAGUGCAUGUAAUUAAAGUGGAAUAUCUUGAAAAUGGCCCCUUAUUUUCUGAACUGAAAUUUUACCAGAGGGCUGCAAAACAAGAGCAGAUAAGAAAAUGGAUGAAUCUCAAAAAAAUAAGAUGUUUAGGAAUUCCAGUGUUUUGGGGAUCAGGCUUGGCUGAGCACAAGGGAAAAAGCUAUAGAUUCAUGGUCAUGGAGAGACUGGGGGAAGACCUUCAGAGAAUCUUUGAAGAUUGUGGAAGCAGAUUUAAGAAGGAGACUGUUCUGCAACUUGGGGCACGAAUGCUGGAUACUUUGGAAUACAUACAUGAAAAUGAGUAUGUUCAUGGUGAUAUUAAAGCAGCAAAUCUACUUUUGGGCUACACCAAUCCACACGAGGUUUAUCUUGCAGAUUAUGGACUUUCCUACAGAUAUUGUCCCAAUGGGAACCACAAACAGUAUCAGGAAAAUCCUAGGAAGGGCCAUAAUGGGACAAUAGAGUUUACCAGCGUAGAUGCCCACAAGGGAGUAGCCCCAUCCAGACGAGGUGACCUUGAAAUCCUUGGCUACUGCAUGCUGCAAUGGUUGUGUGGGAAGCUGCCCUGGGAACAGAACCUGAAGGACCCUGUAGCUGUCCAGGCUGCGAAAACAAGACUUAUGGAUGAGCUCCCAGAUUCAGUGAUGGAAUGGGAUUCUUCUGGAGGCAGCUGUCGUGAACUCUCCAAGUUUCUGGCAUGUGUUUAUGGCUUAGCUUAUGAUGAGAAGCCAAAGUAUCAAGUGCUCAAGAAAAUCCUGCUGGAUGGGCUGGAGUCAAGUGGAAUUCGCUACGAUGGCCCUCUGGAAUUUUCCACUGCAGCUUGCACACGGAAUCACACUGCUCCUAAAGUGCCCAAACAGGUUCGCUUGCCAAAGCCUAAACCAAAACCAGUUCAGCAGAAGCAAAAGAAGAUGGAAGGUGACGCAGAUGAAGAAUACAUCUGCCAAAACAAGGCCUGUGCUGGGGCAACAGACAGACACCCCCACAAGGAAGAAAAGCCAAGUAAAUUAAACAGGAUGCUUCACCAACCAGAGCCUCAGCAGGGUCCCUUACUGAAGCCCUCCCUGGAACCAGUGCCACAGAAGCAAAACAAGGUGAAAGAGGAAGAACCCAACGGGCUGAGCAGGCCCCGUGCUCGGGUGACCCGCCGGCACUUCCAGCCUGAGGAGAGGCCACGCACGAUUCGGGAGCCCAACCAGGCACAGGAGAAAGACACUGCAAGAGAAUUGCCCCCCUUCAGCCCCCAAGCACUAUUGUCAGAAUCCAGAAAGGAACACGAUCAACUCUUAACUGUGGAUCACCCUGUGUCAUGGCAAGAAACUGGUUCUGACUUCACUCGUCCUUCUCUUUCUGCUAUAUUUAGGCUUGCAUUUACUGACAGAACAUACCAUUACACUACAGCAAUACUUGUACUCCUGCUACUGAUAGUACUUUCCUUGUACUUGCUUUGAUGGCACCAUCUCAGGGGUUUCAGUGCACGUGUGGUGAUGCUCCCAUCACAGUUUCUUCUCAGAGUUUCUUCAUUGAAGAUUUCAGUGUCAGUGGCUUGAAAAAGAUUUUUAAAUAACCCUGUCAGUACAGAUCUGCACUCAAUAGUUACACAUGCACUAUUUGUACAAGGCUCUUCUGUGUAACAAAUAUUGGGAUUCCUUUUUACUUUCUUUUGGUUUUGAAACUGGACCUUUGCUACAGCAACAUUAAAAAUGUAUCAUGAAAUACAAGGGGGUGUGAUAUUGAAUUACUCUGACACCAGCAUGUUGGUAACUUGUACCGUGUCAGCAAACCUUUAGUUAAAUCCUGAUGCAGUAAAUGCAUGGGAAUUUAAAGUUUUCCUCUCUUUAUUCCUCAGUGUAAAGGGAAGAUAGUAGCCACAAAUUCCAUUUUGGAAAAGACUCUGUUACUGGUUUUGCCUUUAUCUAAGCUGCCACACAUGGUUUAGUUUGAUCACUCAUUUCAUUGACUUUCCUUACCUUAUUACAAUAUGGACAUUCACCAAAGAUGACAUUAAAGCUCUGUCUGCUGGAAGGAAGACCUUGUAGCCACUGCAACACAACCUCCAGCUAAAGCAGACAAAGAAGCUGUUUGGUAAAUUACUUCAGAUACUGGUAAUGAAAACAUCUGCAAUUUAAAAAAACAACCCCACAGAUGUUGACAACUUGGUCUUCAGAUGCAAAUAUCAAAUGUGCCUCUUUUUCAGCUAAUAAAUUUGAAGUCAAGCAUCUUGACUGAAAGAACAUUUCAAAAGAAGGUUCUAUUAAGCCCACAGCUGUCUCCUGGGCCCCACAGCCACAAAGAUGAUACAUAUAUGAAAUCCCUCAUAUUAUUUUUAAGUAGCUAUAUACAACUUUAUACAGCAAUAAAAAAAAUAAAUCACAAAUUCAGUUGCUCAGUUUUAACAUCAUAGGAACCCAGAGAGUAAGUUUUGGUACAGACACUCAUCAAGAAUGUCUUAAUGCCUCAAGAAGGGAUUUUUAUCAAAGAGGUAAAGCCACGUUAUAGAGAAAAACUAAACCAGAUGUUCCACAUUUCUAUUGUGCUGCUUCAUCUUUAAAGGUUUACUUCAGUUAAAAUCAUGCUUACAGGACAAAUAAACAAAUUAAUGAAAUUUAUAAUAAAAUUAUUAAUAAUUUAAAGG
Strigops habroptila (Kakapo) is the source of this 2987-nucleotide RNA transcript. It is a transcript of the gene named VRK serine/threonine kinase 2, with no coding region annotated. The record is from RefSeq and is a predicted model, not a curated record. The transcript has 15 exons. Lineage: Eukaryota; Metazoa; Chordata; Aves; Psittaciformes; Psittacidae.